AGGGCCACCGGGUCGACCGCCCGGGUCGCCAGCAGGUAGUCGCGGAUGGCGAUGCCGUGGCGCCCCUC
This 68-nucleotide small RNA is filed under the name Kitasatospora viridis. Its description in RNAcentral is "ASdes TB sRNA". It matches the Rfam family "ASdes TB sRNA". Lineage: Bacteria; Bacillati; Actinomycetota; Actinomycetes; Kitasatosporales; Streptomycetaceae. The record is from Rfam by way of RNAcentral.